RNAcentral lists this ribosomal RNA (100 nucleotides) under Clavariadelphus ligula. RNAcentral describes it as "partial 5.8S ribosomal RNA". It matches the Rfam family "5.8S ribosomal RNA", at positions 58 to 154 of the family's 154-position model. Rfam says of the family: 5.8S ribosomal RNA (5.8S rRNA) is a component of the large subunit of the eukaryotic ribosome. It is transcribed by RNA polymerase I as part of the 45S precursor that also contains 18S and 28S rRNA. Lineage: Eukaryota; Fungi; Basidiomycota; Agaricomycetes; Gomphales; Clavariadelphaceae. The record is from RNAcentral.
CGAAGUAAUGUGAAUUGCAGAAUUCAGUGAAUCAUCGAAUCUUUGAACGCAUCUUGCGCUCCUUGGUAUUCCGAGGAGCAUGCCUGUUUGAGUGUCGUGA